This 86-nucleotide transfer RNA is filed under the name Candidatus Diapherotrites archaeon CG08_land_8_20_14_0_20_34_12. RNAcentral describes it as "tRNA-Ser". It matches the Rfam family "tRNA". Rfam says of the family: Transfer RNA (tRNA) molecules are approximately 80 nucleotides in length. Their secondary structure includes four short double-helical elements and three loops (D, anti-codon, and T loops). Further hydrogen bonds mediate the characteristic L-shaped molecular structure. tRNAs have two regions of fundamental functional importance: the anti-codon, which is responsible for specific mRNA codon recognition, and the 3' end, to which the tRNAs corresponding amino acid is attached (by aminoacyl-tRNA synthetases). tRNAs cope with the degeneracy of the genetic code in two manners: having more than one tRNA (with a specific anti-codon) for a particular amino acid; and 'wobble' base-pairing, i.e. permitting non-standard base-pairing at the 3rd anti-codon position. Lineage: Archaea; Nanobdellati; Candidatus Iainarchaeota. The record is from RNAcentral.
GCUGGGAUGGCAGAAUCCGGUUCAAUGCGCCAGUUUCGAAAGCUGGUGUCCGUGAGGACAUGUGGGUUCAAAUCCCACUCCCAGCG